This 637-nucleotide long non-coding RNA is filed under the name Lepisosteus oculatus (spotted gar). RNAcentral's name for it is "lncRNA (ENSLOCG00000022789.1)". Lineage: Eukaryota; Metazoa; Chordata; Actinopteri; Semionotiformes; Lepisosteidae. The record is from RNAcentral.
AUCAGUUUUCCCAGCUCUGCUGUCUGUGUUGCAGCCCGAGCUCAGGUGGGGGUGUACGUGCUGGGGUCCUCAGUCCUGCCUGCGGUCAGUGCCAUUGCUCUCACUGCAGAGCUCAUCCUCAAGGCAGAAAAAGGCCGCCGCACUCUGACAGACCUGCGCUUGGUGGUCUUGCCCUGUCAGAUCCUCCUCGUUGUCUGCUGGCUUGUCUUGCUGAUGUGUGCGGACUAUAAGGAGGAGAAGAACAGGUGAGUAGAGUUUCUCAUAGUAUAGUAAGUAUUUAUCUUCACUUUAUAGUGUUCAUAAGGCAGUGCUUUUAAUUCUGAAAGUGUUAUUUAUCACUGUGCAGUAUUUAGGUCAGUUUCCUUAUCAGCAAAUAUUAUGUAAGCAACCUUAAAACCAGUCUGUGUAAUUGUACCCAGAUUAGUAACAUAGCUCAAUCAGAGACUUCAGAUCUGUAAUAAUAUAACAUACAAAUAUAGAUUUACUGACAAAUAUACAGAUUUAAUUACCAGAUUAUACAUCUAUUUGAAUAUAUUUUAAGACCAUAUUAAAAGUCUUGUUACAUCAUGUCUCUUUUUUCCCUGAGAUCACAAACUGAAUCUCAAGAGCCAUCAGGACAAAAUACCCACAAUACACA